GAUGAACGCUGGCGGCGUGCCUAAUACAUGCAAGUCGAGCGAAUGGAUUAAGAGCUUGCUCUUAUGAAGUUAGCGGCGGACGGGUGAGUAACACGUGGGUAACCUGCCCAUAAGACUGGGAUAACUCCGGGAAACCGGGGCUAAUACCGGAUAAUAAAAAGAAACGCGUGUUUCUUUUUUGAAAGUUGGUUUCGGCUAACACUUACAGAUGAGCCCGCGGCGCAUUAGCUAGUUGGUGAGGUAACGGCUCACCAAGGCGACGAUGCGUAGCCGACCUGAGAGGGUGAUCGGCCACACUGGGACUGAGACACGGCCCAGACUCCUACGGGAGGCAGCAGUAGGGAAUCUUCGGCAAUGGGCGAAAGCCUGACCGAGCAACGCCGCGUGAGCGAUGAAGGCCUUCGGGUCGUAAAGCUCUGUUGUUAGGGAAGAACACGUACGAGAGUAACUGCUCGUACCUUGACGGUACCUAACCAGAAAGCCACGGCUAACUACGUGCCAGCAGCCGCAGUAA
This 514-nucleotide ribosomal RNA is filed under the name uncultured bacterium. RNAcentral's name for it is "partial 16S ribosomal RNA". It matches the Rfam family "Bacterial small subunit ribosomal RNA", at positions 28 to 523 of the family's 1533-position model. The record is from RNAcentral.